GAUGCGCUCUAUAAUGCAGUCGAGCGAACUGAUUAGAAGCUUGCUUCUAUGACGUUAGCGGCGGACGGGUGAGUAACACGUGGGCAACCUGCCUGUAAGACUGGGAUAACUUCGGGAAACCGAAGCUAAUACCGGAUAGGAUCUUCUCCUUCAUGGGAGAUGAUUGAAAGAUGGUUUCGGCUAUCACUUACAGAUGGGCCCGCGGUGCAUUAGCUAGUUGGUGAGGUAACGGCUCACCAAGGCAACGAUGCAUAGCCGACCUGAGAGGGUGAUCGGCCACACUGGGACUGAGACACGGCCCAGACUCCUACGGGAGGCAGCAGUAGGGAAUCUUCCGCAAUGGACGAAAGUCUGACGGAGCAACGCCGCGUGAGUGAUGAAGGCUUUCGGGUCGUAAAACUCUGUUGUUAGGGAAGAACAAGUACGAGAGUAACUGCUCGUACCUUGACGGUACCUAACCAGAAAGCCACGGCUAACUACGUGCCAGCAGCCGCGGUAAUACGUAGGUGGCAAGCGUUAUCCGGAAUUAUUGGGCGUAAAGCGCGCGCAGGCGGUUUCUUAAGUCUGAUGUGAAAGCCCACGGCUCAACCGUGGAGGGUCAUUGGAAACUGGGGAACUUGAGUGCAGAAGAGAAAAGCGGAAUUCCACGUGUAGCGGUGAAAUGCGUAGAGAUGUGGAGGAACACCAGUGGCGAAGGCGGCUUUUUGGUCUGUAACUGACGCUGAGGCGCGAAAGCGUGGGGAGCAAACAGGAUUAGAUACCCUGGUAGUCCACGCCGUAAACGAUGAGUGCUAAGUGUUAGAGGGUUUCCGCCCUUUAGUGCUGCAGCUAACGCAUUAAGCACUCCGCCUGGGGAGUACGGUCGCAAGACUGAAACUCAAAGGAAUUGACGGGGGCCCGCACAAGCGGUGGAGCAUGUGGGUUUAAUUCGAAGCAACGCGAAGAACCUUACCAGGUCUUGACAUCCUCUGACAACUCUAGAGAUAGAGCGUUCCCCUUCGGGGACAGAGUGACAGGUGGUGCAUGGUUGUCGUCAGCUCGUGUCGUGAGAUGUGGGGUAGUCCGCACGAGCGCACCUUGAUCCUAGCUGCAAGCAUUAGUGGCACCUCUACUGACUGCCGUGACAAGCGAGAAGUGGGAUGACGUCAAAUCAUCUGACCUAUGACCUGGGUCUACACACGUGCAUUACAAUUGAU
This 1196-nucleotide ribosomal RNA is filed under the name Bacillus sp. (in: firmicutes). RNAcentral's name for it is "bacterial SSU rRNA". It matches the Rfam family "Bacterial small subunit ribosomal RNA", at positions 41 to 1235 of the family's 1533-position model. Lineage: Bacteria; Bacillati; Bacillota; Bacilli; Caryophanales; Bacillaceae. The record is from RNAcentral.